CAAGAAUAAUGUCAAAAUCAUGCAUAUUUAACUGAAUCAAAUCUGCUGCUAAUUCUUUUUCUUCUAUUUGGACUAUGCAAUUUUUAAAAAUAAUGUUAGCCACAGCAAUAUUUUUAAGAGGUGUGCUCACAUAUAAUGGUUCAUUUAAUUUCUCAGACACACAAUUUAAAGAAGUAGCAAAUUUGAGAGAUAUAAAAGAGUGAGAAGAGUCAGAAUCGAAUAGCACACGAGUAUGAAUAGAAUUGACUGGGAUAGUACCUGUCACCACUUGAUCACUUGCGUUGAUCUCCUGUUGGUUUAAAGCAAACACUCGUGCAUUCCCUUUCUGUUUUUGAUCAACUGGUUUGUUAGGUCUAUAGUCAUCUUUUUUUCUUAUUUGGGCAAUCACGAGCCAUAUGUCCUUUCUCGCCACAUAAGAAGCAUGCUCCUAUCCUCUUGAGACA
This 443-nucleotide long non-coding RNA is filed under the name Elaeis guineensis (African oil palm). RNAcentral's name for it is "long non-coding RNA (EGUI_LNC049958)". Lineage: Eukaryota; Viridiplantae; Streptophyta; Magnoliopsida; Arecales; Arecaceae. The record is from RNAcentral.